AUGCUCUCCGCCCUCGCCCGGCCUGCCAGCGCUGUUCUCCGCCGCAGCUUCAGCACCUCGGCCCAGGUAGGCCCGACGAGGGGCGGCCUGCAGGCGGAGGCCCCCCAGCCCGGGCCACGUGCGUCCCCGGUUCGCGGGCAGCUCUGACCCUCUCCAGGCCAGCCUGGACCGCAGGGCUGCCCGGCACUGGCUGGAGACUGUGGCGCCCGGGGCAGGCCCUGACACUGGCCUGGAGGUGCGGGGGAGAUAGCCGGGGAGAAGGGGGCGAGGUAGUCCCGCUCCAGGGCCGGUCCAUUUGGCAGGGCUCCCCCAGGUCUCCCAGAUUCCCCAGAGGACCUGCUCUUGGCUUGCACGCCUUCAAGAACAAUGCUAAAGUAGCUGUGCUAGGGGCCUCUGGAGGCAUCGGGCAGCCACUUUCACUUCUCCUGAAGAACAGCCCCUUGGUGAGCCGCCUGACCCUCUAUGAUAUCGCGCACACACCUGGAGUGGCUGCAGAUCUGAGCCACAUCGAGACCAAAGCCGCUGUGAAAGGCUACCUCGGACCUGAACAGCUGCCUGACUGCCUGAAA
Molecule: small RNA, 569 nt
Filed under: Pongo abelii (Sumatran orangutan)
Lineage: Eukaryota; Metazoa; Chordata; Mammalia; Primates; Hominidae
Description: processed transcript
Source: RNAcentral